UGAGUAACACGUAUGCAACCUGCCCUCUUCAGGGGCAUAACCUUCCGAAAGGGAGGCUAAUCCCGCGUAUAUCGGUUUCGGGCAUCCGAGAUCGAGGAAAGAUUCAUCGGAAGAGGAUGGGCAUGCGGCGCAUUAGCUAGACGGCGGGGUAACGGCCCACCGUGGCGACGAUGCGUAGGGGUUCUGAGAGGAAGGUCCCCCACACUGGUACUGAGACACGGACCAGACUCCUACGGGAGGCAGCAGUGAGGAAUAUUGGUCAAUGGGAGAGAUCCUGAACCAGCCAAGCCGCGUGAGGGAAGACGGCCCUAUGGGUUGUAAACCUCUUUUGUCGGAGAACAGAACCCGGGACGAGUCCCGGACUGCGUGUAUCCGAAGAAAAAGCAUCGGCUAACUCCGUGCCAGCAGCCGCGGUAAUACGGAGGAUGCGAGCGUUAUCCGGAUUUAUUGGGUUUAAAGGGUGCGUAGGCGGUCCGUUAAGUCAGCGGUAAAAUUGCGGGGCUCAACCCCGUCGAGCCGUUGAAACUGGCAGACUUGAGUUGGCGAGAAGUACGCGGAAUGCGCGGUGUAGCGGUGAAAUGCAUAGAUAUCGCGCAGAACUCCGAUUGCGAAGGCAGCGUACCGGCGCCAGACUGACGCUGAGGCACGAAAGCGUGGGGAUCGAACAGGAUUAGAUACCCUGGUAGUCCACGCAGUAAACGAUGAAUGCUGGUUGUCCGGGUCGAAG
This 727-nucleotide ribosomal RNA is filed under the name uncultured bacterium. RNAcentral describes it as "bacterial SSU rRNA". It matches the Rfam family "Bacterial small subunit ribosomal RNA", at positions 107 to 834 of the family's 1533-position model. The record is from RNAcentral.